Molecule: ribosomal RNA, 796 nt
Filed under: Aggregata octaculeata (nom. ined.)
Lineage: Eukaryota; Apicomplexa; Marosporida; Aggregatidae
Description: Aggregata sp. JRen-2021a partial small subunit ribosomal RNA
Rfam family: Eukaryotic small subunit ribosomal RNA
Source: RNAcentral
AUCUAUUGUGAAAACAUUUACAAAAAAUAUGUAUGUUAAUUAAGAACUAAAAUUAAGGGAUCGAAGAUGAUCAGAUACCGUCGUAGUCUUAAUUAUAAACGAUGCCGAUUAGUGAUUAGGUAGUUCGUAAAAAAUGAUAUAUUUAGUAAUUAUUGAGAAAUCAAAGUUUUUAGGUUUUGGGGGGAGUAUAGUCGCAAGAAUGAAACUUAAAAGCAUUGACGGAAAGGCACACAAGGAGUGGAGCUUGCGGUUUAAUUUGACUCAACACAGGAAAUCUCACCAAGUCCAGACAUACAUAGGAUUGACAGAUUAAUAGAUUUUUUUUGAUAUUGUGGGUGGUGGUGCAUGGCCGUUUUUAGUUGGUGGGGUAAUUUGUCUGGUUAAUUCCGUUAACGAACAGGAUUUUAAUGCAUUAAAUAGUAAAAAAAAUUUGAAGUUUUAUAAGCUUUUUAGAAAGACGUUGUAUAUAUAAUAUAAGGAAGUUUAAGGUAAUAACAGGUCUGGAAUGCUUUUAGAUGUUUUGGGCUACACGCGUGUUAUAUUUAUAUAAUUAACGUGUUUUUUUUUGAGUGGGUACACUUGAAUAAUUUUAUUAAUAUAUAUUGUAAUUGGGAUAGAAUAUUGAAAUUAUUAGUCUUUAACGAGGAAUUCCUAGUAAAUAUAAGUCAUAAACUUGUAUUGAUUAUGUCCCUGCCUUUUGUACACACCGCCCGUCGCUCCUAUCGAUUGAAUUAUCCGGUGAAUGAAUCAGAAUGUUUUGUUAAAGAGUAUAUUUUUGAUAUAUUUGUAAUAAGAU